This 370-nucleotide unclassified non-coding RNA is filed under the name uncultured Flavobacteriaceae bacterium. RNAcentral describes it as "contains 16S-23S intergenic spacer region". The record is from RNAcentral. Lineage: Bacteria; Pseudomonadati; Bacteroidota; Flavobacteriia; Flavobacteriales; Flavobacteriaceae.
UCUCAGUUUGCACUGGCAGUCUCGUUAGAGUUCCCGACAUGACUCGCUGGCAACUAACGACAGGGGUUGCGCUCGUUAUAGGACUUAACCUGACACCUCACGGCACGAGCUGACGACAACCAUGCAGCACCUUGUGAUCUGUCCGAAGAAAAACCUGUUUCCAAGCCUGUCAGACCACAUUUAAGCCCUGGUAAGGUUCCUCGCGUAUCAUCGAAUUAAACCACAUGCUCCACCGCUUGUGCGGGCCCCCGUCAAUUCCUUUGAGUUUCAUUCUUGCGAACGUACUCCCCAGGUGGGAUACUUAUCACUUUCGCUUAGCCACUCAGCUUGCGCCGAACAGCUAGUAUCCAUCGUUUACGGCGUGGACUAC